Molecule: transfer RNA, 116 nt
Filed under: Yanoella truncatilobula
Lineage: Eukaryota; Viridiplantae; Streptophyta; Jungermanniopsida; Porellales; Lejeuneaceae
Description: Rectolejeunea truncatilobula partial tRNA-Phe
Rfam family: tRNA (bases 67-116)
Source: RNAcentral
GAGGGUUCAAGUCCCUCUACCCCCAUAUAUUGGCAAAAUUUUGUUCCAAUUUUAGAAAUUCAAAUUGCCGGGAUAGCUCAGUCGGUAGAGCAGGGGAUUGAAAAUCCUCGUGUCAC